GUGACCAUAGCUCAGUAAGGUAGAGCGCCUGACUGUGGAUCAGGUGGUCGCGGGUUCAAGUCCCGCUGGUCACCCCA
RNAcentral lists this transfer RNA (77 nucleotides) under Pseudothermotoga hypogea. RNAcentral describes it as "tRNA-His". It matches the Rfam family "tRNA". Rfam says of the family: Transfer RNA (tRNA) molecules are approximately 80 nucleotides in length. Their secondary structure includes four short double-helical elements and three loops (D, anti-codon, and T loops). Further hydrogen bonds mediate the characteristic L-shaped molecular structure. tRNAs have two regions of fundamental functional importance: the anti-codon, which is responsible for specific mRNA codon recognition, and the 3' end, to which the tRNAs corresponding amino acid is attached (by aminoacyl-tRNA synthetases). tRNAs cope with the degeneracy of the genetic code in two manners: having more than one tRNA (with a specific anti-codon) for a particular amino acid; and 'wobble' base-pairing, i.e. permitting non-standard base-pairing at the 3rd anti-codon position. Lineage: Bacteria; Thermotogati; Thermotogota; Thermotogae; Thermotogales; Thermotogaceae. The record is from RNAcentral. RNAcentral also lists the same sequence under 2 other names.